UCCGUAGGUGAACCUGCGGAAGGAUCAUUACUAGAGCAAAGGAUAGGCAGCGCCCCACAGAAGCUUGCUUCGUGGCGGGCUACCCUACUUCGGUAGGGUUUAGAGUCGUCGAACCUCUCGGAGAAGUUCGGUCCUGAACUCCACCCUUGAAUAAAUUACCUUUGUUGCUUUGGCGGGCCGCCUCGUGCCAGCGGCUUCGGCUGUUGAGUGCCCGCCAGAGGACCACAACUCUUGUUUUUUGUGAUGUCUGAGUACUAUAUAAUAGUUAAAACUUUCAACAACGGAUCUCUUGGUUCUGGCAUCGAUGAAGAACGCAGCGAAAUGCGAUAAGUAAUGUGAAUUGCAGAAUUCAGUGAAUCAUCGAAUCUUUGAACGCACAUUGCGCCCUCUGGUAUUCCGGGGGGCAUGCCUGUUCGAGCGUCAUUAUAACCACUCAAGCUCUCGCUUGGUAUUGGGGUUCGCGGUUCCGCGGCCCCCUAAAAUCAGUGGCGGUGCCUGUCGGCUCUACGCGUAGUAAUACUCCUCGCGGAUUGGAGGUCGGGGUAGGGGGUCUACCUGGCCCAGGCAACCCCCC
This 574-nucleotide ribosomal RNA is filed under the name uncultured fungus. RNAcentral's name for it is "eukaryotic LSU rRNA". The stretch from base 270 to 423 matches the Rfam family "5.8S ribosomal RNA". The record is from RNAcentral. Lineage: Eukaryota; Fungi.